AUACGUAGGGGGCAAGCGUUAUCCGGAUUUACUGGGUGUAAAGGGAGCGUAGACGGAAGGCCAAGUCUGAUGUGAAAGCCCGCGGCUCAACUGCGGGACUGCAUUGGAAACUGGUCAUCUGGAGUGCAGGAGGGGUAAGCGGAAUUCCUAGUGUAGCGGUGAAAUGCGUAGAUAUUAGGAGGAACACCGGUGGCGAAGGCGUCUUACGGAAUUGUAACGGGCUUUGGGGCUCAAAAGGUGGGGGAGCAAAAAGGUUUGAAUCCCCUGGUGGUCGACGCCGUAAACAAUGAAUGCAAGUUGUGGGGUUUCUAAAAAGAUUCGGUGCGCAGCAAACGCAAUAAGUAUUCCACCUGGGGAGUACGUUCGCAAGAAUGAAACUCAAAUGAAUUGACGGGG
Molecule: ribosomal RNA, 396 nt
Filed under: uncultured bacterium
Lineage: Bacteria
Description: partial 16S ribosomal RNA
Rfam family: Bacterial small subunit ribosomal RNA
Source: RNAcentral